CGUCUAUACUUUUAAACCACGCGAGAGCUUCAAGCGUGUUUAAUUAAAACACGCGAGAGCUUCUCGCGUCUAUACCAUGGCUGGAAUCUUGUUUUUUCAGAGUCCAAAUGGCGGAUACAUUUUUGCCAUAACGUCUCUUCUUGGAAUUUUGCCCUCAAUUCUAUCGGUCUCUCUCUCAUAUCUCAUUUUCAAUUUCUCAAAUUGGGGAAGAAAUCCCUAAUCCCAUCCCCCUCCUCCAUCUCAGCGAAAUCGCCGCUCCACCUGGUCGCCGGAGCGUCGCCGGCUCCAGCUCCUCGGCGUCACGGAGUCGCCGGCGGCUCGUGCCAGCACCCUCCGUCUCCGUCCAGCUCUCUCCCUUUUCCGGACAGAACAACGCCUCUUCCCUCUCUCGUCUUCUCCGGCGAAUUCACGCUCGGAGCGACCCCUUUCGCGGUCGACCGACGUUGUUCGUUGCUCUCCCAGACAGCCCCUUCAGCUGCUCAAACCUCCGCCACUUUCUCUCUCUCGGCUGCAUCACUGGGCAACUGCCACUGUCGCCAGCUAUGGACCGGCGACGAGCCGCUGUCACCAGCAUCUUCGCAGAGUCGCCGUCGACGCUGACUCUGGCGUGAGACACGGCGCCGGACUUCGUCCGUCGGUGACCGAAGUCAGCAGCCGUUGUCUACCCACACCGCUACAACCUGCGGCUCAUCCGGCUGCCCCCUCUCCUCGUAGCUAAGUCUCGUAUUUAUGUUCUUAGUUUACACCUUAGUCUAGAUUUCCAAUUUUGAGCAUGUCGGAGCUUUGUGAUGUUGGAGAUCUUGGCUAAUGUGUUUUAGAGUUGUGAUUUUGGGGAAAGUUUAGUUCACUGGAAAGAGUCCUGAUUUGAAAAAAAAACGUGAAGGUUGCUAUCUUGCAUAAUUUAAGCAUACUGUUUCUUUGUGAGAAAUGGUAGACUGCCUUGUACAAAAGAUUUUAGGAGUAAGAUUCCUAGAGUGAAGAUGCUGUUAAGACCUCUAUUUGUGAUUGAAAUUAUAAGUUUCUAUCUGUGAACAAAGCAGCAGUAUAGGGUAGCUGCUGACAUGAUUCAAGCUUAGAAUGCUGUGCCUACUUGAUUUUCAAGUGUUCAUACUUUCAUGUUUCUAUCAUAUGGAGGAAGGAGUGUUACCUCUUGAAAGUAGCUACUGCUCUUGAGCCUCUGCUCCUAGAACUCAAAACUCUUAACUCUCAAAACUCACUAUGUUGCUGGAAAAUUCCAAGUAUGUGGAAGGGAGUUCAUAGGUGGUGUGGAGGGUUUUUUUUUAUAUAGGCAGAGUGUGUACUCGUGAAGCCUUAAUUGGAGCUGCUGUAUUUCUUUGUUCUUUUCCUACAGCAAAUCCUCUUUUUUUUUUUAUGAUUCUGCAGCAACUUUAACUGAAAUUUUUGGUGGUGGUUUUGCAGGUACAAGGAAGGAUGCAGGGGUUUGUUGGGAGUAGGAGAUGGCUACUCUAAUUUGGGGAACCUUGGGCUGUCAUGUUGCUGUCCGAGACACGGGCUCGCUGCCCUCGGCCCGACGGCUGCUUCGGACAUGGCCAUGGAGGGUGUGAUUCGGGCUUGGGGAGAAGAGGCCCAAGUGUAUAUCUUGUAUUCUUAAAUUCCUUUGUACAAAAACUUUGGUUCAUAUACAUCCACUUAGGGAUGUCAAUUUAGCCCGUAACCCGUGGGCUGACCCGAA
Long non-coding RNA from Salvia splendens (bonfire salvia), 1693 nucleotides. RefSeq lists it as uncharacterized. The transcript has 2 exons. NCBI's taxonomy places the organism in Eukaryota, Viridiplantae, Streptophyta, Magnoliopsida, Lamiales, Lamiaceae. The record is from RefSeq and is a predicted model, not a curated record.